UAAAAUGGUUUCCAAUAUUCAACAAACGAGUACUUAAUUACGGCGCCAAGCACGACAAUUAAUGUCUGUAUUCCAUGCAAUAUGCAUGUGAAGCUCCCCGUACGAUUAAUAAUUUCUUAAGCAUGAAGUUGAGACAUGAACAGUGAGCUAGUACUCAUGUCAUAAGGGUCAGUAAAAUACAGAUUUGAGUUAAAGGCAUGAGGCCAAUGCAUCAGAACUGUAAUUGAAGAGAGAGAGAGAGACACAGAUGGUUAC
RNAcentral lists this long non-coding RNA (255 nucleotides) under Panax ginseng (ginseng). RNAcentral describes it as "long non-coding RNA (PGIN_LNC013827)". Lineage: Eukaryota; Viridiplantae; Streptophyta; Magnoliopsida; Apiales; Araliaceae. The record is from RNAcentral.